GUGAGUAAUACAUCGGAACAUGUCCUGUAGUGGGGGAUAGCCCGGCGAAAGCCGGAUUAAUACCGCAUACGAUCURAGGAUGAAAGCGGGGGACCUUCGGGCCUCGCGCUAUAGGGUUGGCCGAUGGCUGAUUAGCUAGUUGGUGGGGUAAAGGCCUACCAAGGCGACGAUCAGUAGCUGGUCUGAGAGGACGACCAGCCACACUGGGACUGAGACACGGCCCAGACUCCUACGGGAGGCAGCAGUGGGGAAUUUUGGACAAUGGGCGCAAGCCUGAUCCAGCAAUGCCGCGUGUGUGAAGAAGGCCUUCGGGUUGUAAAGCACUUUUGUCCGGAAAGAAAUCAUUCUGGCUAAUACCG
RNAcentral lists this ribosomal RNA (359 nucleotides) under Burkholderia pseudomallei. Its description in RNAcentral is "bacterial SSU rRNA". It matches the Rfam family "Bacterial small subunit ribosomal RNA", at positions 106 to 480 of the family's 1533-position model. The record is from RNAcentral. Lineage: Bacteria; Pseudomonadati; Pseudomonadota; Betaproteobacteria; Burkholderiales; Burkholderiaceae.